AAGUCGUAACAAGGUUUCCGUAGGUGAACCUGCGGAAGGAUCAUUAGUGAUUAAUUAUUGAGUGUAAAAAACUCAUAAUCUUCUAUACAAACCACUGUUUUAAAAUGUUUACUAGAAUGUCCAAGCAGUUAAGCUGUUGAAAUAUUAAAAGUUUAAUAAAACUUUCAGCAACGGAUCUCUUGGUUCAG
RNAcentral lists this unclassified non-coding RNA (188 nucleotides) under Wallemia sp. RNAcentral's name for it is "partial contains small subunit ribosomal RNA, internal transcribed spacer 1, and 5.8S ribosomal RNA". The stretch from base 1 to 46 matches the Rfam family "Eukaryotic small subunit ribosomal RNA", at positions 1786 to 1831 of the family's 1831-position model. RNAcentral also lists the same sequence under 2 other names. Lineage: Eukaryota; Fungi; Basidiomycota; Wallemiomycetes; Wallemiales; Wallemiaceae. The record is from RNAcentral.